GAUGAACGCUGGCGGCGUGCCUAAUACAUGCAAGUCGAGCGGACAGACGCGGAGCUUGCUCCUCUGACGUUAGACGCGGACGGGAGAGUCACGCGUGGAUCCCCUACCUAUAAGACUGGGAUAACUACGGGAAACUGGAGCUAAUACCGGAUAAUAUCUUGAACCGCAGGGUUCAAUAGUGAAAGACGGUUUUGCUGUCACUUAUAGAUGGUUCCGCGCCGCAUUAGCUAGUUGGUAAGGUAACGGCUUACCAAGGCAACGAUGCGUAGCCGACCUGCGAGGGUGGUCGGCCACACUGGAACUGAGACGCGGUCCAGACUCCUACGGGAGGCAGCAGUAGGGUAUCUUACGCAAUGGGCGGAAGCCUGACGGAGCAACGCCGCGUGAGUGAUGAAAGUCUUCGGAUCGGAAAACUCUGUUAUUAGUGAAGAACAAAUGUGUAAGUAACUAUGCACUUCUUGACGGUACCUAAUCAGAAAGCCCCGGCUAACUACGUG
Molecule: ribosomal RNA, 497 nt
Filed under: uncultured bacterium
Lineage: Bacteria
Description: partial 16S ribosomal RNA
Rfam family: Bacterial small subunit ribosomal RNA
Source: RNAcentral